GACGAACGCUGGCGGCGUGCUUAACACAUGCAAGUCAUACGGUAAGGCCCUUUCGUUGGUACACGAGUGGCUAACGGGUGAGUAACACGUGCGUAACUUGCCCACCCCUUUGUUAUAACUCUAUUCAACUGGUUCUAAUUCUUGAUAUGUGCUCCUUCUGCAUGGUUGGGGUUGGUAAGCUCCGGCGGUUGUGGAUGGACUCGCGGCCUAUCAGCUUGUUGGUGGGGUAGUGGCCUACCAAGGCGGCGAUGGGUAGCCGGCCUGGGAGGGUGAACGGCCAAAUUGGGACUGGGAUACGGCCCAGAAUCCUACGGGAGGCAGCAGGGGGGAAUAAUGCAAAAUGGGGGCAAGCCUGAUGCAGCAAAGCCGCGGGCGGGAUGACGGGCUUCGGGUUGUAAACCGCUUUCAGCAGGGAAGAAGCUUUUUGUGACGGUACCUGCAGAAGAAGCACCGGCUAACUACGUG
RNAcentral lists this ribosomal RNA (465 nucleotides) under uncultured bacterium. RNAcentral describes it as "partial 16S ribosomal RNA". It matches the Rfam family "Bacterial small subunit ribosomal RNA", at positions 28 to 507 of the family's 1533-position model. The record is from RNAcentral.